This 253-nucleotide ribosomal RNA is filed under the name uncultured bacterium. Its description in RNAcentral is "partial 16S ribosomal RNA". It matches the Rfam family "Bacterial small subunit ribosomal RNA", at positions 524 to 776 of the family's 1533-position model. The record is from RNAcentral.
UACGAAGGGGGCUAGCGUUGUUCGGAAUUACUGGGCGUAAAGCGCGCGUAGGCGGAUCGCUAAGUCAGGGGUGAAAUCCCAGGGCUCAACCCUGGAACUGCCUUUGAUACUGACGAUCUGGAGAUCGGGAGAGGUUGGUGGAAUUCCGAGUGUAGAGGUGAAAUUCGUAGAUAUUCGGAGGAACACCAGAAGCGAAGGCGGCCAACUGGCCCGAUACUGACGCUGAGGCGCGAAAGCGUGGGGAGCAGACAGG